RNAcentral lists this ribosomal RNA (468 nucleotides) under uncultured bacterium. RNAcentral's name for it is "partial 16S ribosomal RNA". It matches the Rfam family "Bacterial small subunit ribosomal RNA", at positions 28 to 507 of the family's 1533-position model. The record is from RNAcentral.
GACGAACGCUGGCGGCGUGCUUAACACAUGCAAGUCGAACGGAAAGGCCCUGCUUUUGUGGGGUGCCCGAGUGGCGAACGGGUGAGUAACACGUGAGUAACCUGCUCUUGACUUUGGGAUAACUUCAGGAAACUGGGGCUAAUACCGGAUAGGAGCUCCUGCUGCAUGGUGGGGGUUGGAAAGUUUCGGCGGUUGGGGAUGGACUCGCGGCUUAUCAGCUUGUUGGUGGGGUAGUGGCUUACCAAGGCUUUGACGGGUAGCCGGCCUGAGAGGGUGACCGGCCACAUUGGGACUGAGAUACGGCCCAGACUCCUACGGGAGGCAGCAGUGGGGAAUAUUGCACAAUGGGCGGAAGCCUGAUGCAGCAACGCCGCGUGCGGGAUGACGGCCUUCGGGUUGUAAACCGCUUUCGCCUGUGACGAAGCGUGAGUGACGGUAAUGGGUAAAGAAGCACCGGCUAACUACGUG